Molecule: ribosomal RNA, 253 nt
Filed under: uncultured bacterium
Lineage: Bacteria
Description: partial 16S ribosomal RNA
Rfam family: Bacterial small subunit ribosomal RNA
Source: RNAcentral
UACAGAGGUCUCAAGCGUUGUUCGGAUUUAUUGGGCGUAAAGCGCACGCAGGCGGUCCUGCGCGUUUCCAGGGACAGGUGGCGGCUUAACUGCCACAGGCCUGGGAAAACGGCAGGACUUGAGGGCUUGAGAGGGACGCGGAAUUCCAGGUGGAGCGGUGAAAUGCGUAGAGAUCUGGAAGAACACCGAAGGCGAAGGCAGCGUCCUGGCAAGUUCCUGACGCUCAGGUGCGAAAGCUAGGGGAGCGAACGGG